UAUUUGAUAGUACCUUACUACUUGGAUAACCGUGGUAAUUCUAGAGCUAAUACAUGCUGAAAAUCCCGACUUCGGAAGGGAUGUAUUUAUUAGAUUAAAAACCAAUGCCCUCUGGGCUCCUUGGUGAUUCAUAAUAACUUUUCGAAUCGCAUGGCCUUGCGCCGGCGAUGGUUCAUUCAAAUUUCUUCCCUAUCAACUUUCGAUGUUUGGGUAUUGGCCAAACAUGGUCGCAACGGGUAACGGAGGGUUAGGGCUCGACCCCGGAGAAGGAGCCUGAGAAACGGCUACUACAUCCAAGGAAGGCAGCAGGCGCGCAAAUUACCCAAUCCCGAUUCGGGGAGGUAGUGACAAUAAAUACUGAUACAGGGCUCUUUUGGGUCUUGUAAUUGGAAUGAGUACAAUUUAAAUCUCUUAACGAGGAACAAUUGGAGGGCAAGUCUGGUGCCAGCAGCCGCGGUAAUUCCAGCUCCAAUAGCGUAUAUUAAAGUUGUUGUGGUUAAAAAGCUCGUAGUUGAACCUUGGGCCUGGCUGGCCGGUCCGCCUCACCGCGUGCACUGGUCCGGCCGGGCCUUUCCCUCUGUGGAACCCCAUGCUCUUCACUGGGCGUGGCGGGGAAACAGGACUUUUACUUUGAAAAAAUUAGAGUGCUCCAGGCAGGCCUAUGCUCGAAUACAUUAGCAUGGAAUAAUAAAAUAGGACGCGUGGUUCUAUUUUGUUGGUUUCUAGGACCGCCGUAAUGAUUAAUAGGGACAGUCGGGGGCAUCAGUAUUCAAUUGUCAGAGGUGAAAUUCUUGGAUUUAUUGAAGACUAACUACUGCGAAAGCAUUUGCCAAGGAUGUUUUCAUUAAUCAGGAACGAAAGUUAGGGGAUCGAAGACGAUCAGAUACCGUCGUAGUCUUAACCAUAAACUAUGCCGACUAGGGAUCGGACGAUGUUAUUUUU
This 942-nucleotide ribosomal RNA is filed under the name Microhilum oncoperae. RNAcentral describes it as "SSU rRNA". It matches the Rfam family "Eukaryotic small subunit ribosomal RNA", at positions 118 to 1070 of the family's 1831-position model. Lineage: Eukaryota; Fungi; Ascomycota; Sordariomycetes; Hypocreales; Cordycipitaceae. The record is from RNAcentral.